GGUAUUGAUUGGUGCUUGCAUCAUGAUUUACAUUUGAGUGAGUGGCGAACUGGUGAGUAACACGUGGGAAACCUGCCCAGAAGCGGGGGAUAACACCUGGAAACAGAUGCUAAUACCGCAUAACAACUUGGACCGCAUGGUCCGAGUUUGAAAGAUGGCUUCGGCUAUCACUUUUGGAUGGUCCCGCGGCGUAUUAGCUAGAUGGUGGGGUAACGGCUCACCAUGGCAAUGAUACGUAGCCGACCUGAGAGGGUAAUCGGCCACAUUGGGACUGAGACACGGCCCAAACUCCUACGGGAGGCAGCAGUAGGGAAUCUUCCACAAUGGACGAAAGUCUGAUGGAGCAACGCCGCGUGAGUGAAGAAGGGUUUCGGCUCGUAAAACUCUGUUGUUAAAGAAGAACAUAUCUGAGAGUAACUGUUCAGGUAUUGACGGUAUUUAACCAGAAAGCCACGGCUAACUACGUGCCAGCAGCCGCGGUAAUACGUAGGUGGCAAGCGUUGUCCGGAUUUAUUGGGCGUAAAGCGAGCGCAGGCGGUUUUUUAAGUCUGAUGUGAAAGCCUUCGGCUCAACCGAAGAAGUGCAUCGGAAACUGGGAAACUUGAGUGCAGAAGAGGACAGUGGAACUCCAUGUGUAGCGGUGAAAUGCGUAGAUAUAUGGAAGAACACCAGUGGCGAAGGCGGCUGUCUGGUCUGUAACUGACGCUGAGGCUCGAAAGUAUGGGUAGCAAACAGGAUUAGAUACCCUGGUAGUCCAUACCGUAAACGAUGAAUGCUAAGUGUUGGAGGGUUUCCGCCCUUCAGUGCUGCAGCUAACGCAUUAAGCAUUCCGCCUGGGGAGUACGGCCGCAAGGCUGAAACUCAAAGGAAUUGACGGGGGCCCGCACAAGCGGUGGAGCAUGUGGUUUAAUUCGAAGCUACGCGAAGAACCUUACCAGGUCUUGACAUACUAUGCAAAUCUAAGAGAUUAGACGUUCCCUUCGGGGACAUGGAUACAGGUGGUGCAUGGUUGUCGUCAGCUCGUGUCGUGAGAUGUUGGGUUAAGUCCCGCAACGAGCGCAACCCUUAUUAUCAGUUGCCAGCAUUAAGUUGGGCACUCUGGUGAGACUGCCGGUGACAAACCGGAGGAAGGUGGGGAUGACGUCAAAUCAUCAUGCCCCUUAUGACCUGGGCUACACACGUGCUACAAUGGAUGGUACAACGAGUUGCGAACUCGCGAGAGUAAGCUAAUCUCUUAAAGCCAUUCUCAGUUCGGAUUGUAGGCUGCAACUCGCCUACAUGAAGUCGGAAUCGCUAGUAAUCGCGGAUCAGCAUGCCGCGGUGAAUACGUUCCCGGGCCUUGUACACACCGCCCGUCACACCAUGAGAGUUUGUAACACCCAAAGU
This 1386-nucleotide ribosomal RNA is filed under the name Lactiplantibacillus plantarum. RNAcentral describes it as "bacterial SSU rRNA". It matches the Rfam family "Bacterial small subunit ribosomal RNA", at positions 68 to 1427 of the family's 1533-position model. The record is from RNAcentral. Lineage: Bacteria; Bacillati; Bacillota; Bacilli; Lactobacillales; Lactobacillaceae.